AUAAAAAACGCCUAUAGAGCUCGAAUUUUAAAACACAAGAAAUAAUCUUCCUGGAUGAAAUUGAGCUGAGUUUCGAGAGCAGCUAAAAUGGUUAACGAAUUAAGUUUAAAUCAGCAGCUGGCACAGGCUGUUAGCUCAUUUGCUACUUUAAACACAUUUGCCUUAUGGCCAAGUGCGAAUGGGUUAUAUGCUUGGCAGCAUAUGGCCUUUGGGCCUACAACCAAGCCUUUGUAUAGUGUCAAAACUGAUAUUUCAGUUUGUAAUCGAAUUGUUGAGUUGAAAUACAGUAAAAUGGUGCCCUUGUCUAUAUUGGAUUUUCAUAUGACCGAUGCAGAUUUAUUGGCUCUGGAAUUGGAAAAGAUUGCAUUGGCCUAACGAGCUGCGAAUUAUAAGAAGCGGUUUGAGUCAUGCAAGCAAUACAAUCGAAUGUAUCUAAAUAU
Molecule: small RNA, 440 nt
Filed under: Drosophila virilis
Lineage: Eukaryota; Metazoa; Arthropoda; Insecta; Diptera; Drosophilidae
Description: GJ25744
Source: RNAcentral